Molecule: ribosomal RNA, 465 nt
Filed under: uncultured bacterium
Lineage: Bacteria
Description: partial 16S ribosomal RNA
Rfam family: Bacterial small subunit ribosomal RNA
Source: RNAcentral
CCUACGGGUGGCAGCAGUGGGGAAUAUUGCGCAAUGGGCGAAAGCCUGACGCAGCGACGCCGCGUGAGGGAUGAAGGUCUUCGGAUCGUAAACCUCUGUCAGCAGGGAAGAACGGUCACUGUGGUAAUCAGCAGCGAAUUGAUGGUACCCGCAAAGGAAGCACCGGCUAACUCCGUGCCAGCAGCCGCGGUAAUACGGAGGGUGCGAGCGUUAAUCGGAAUUACUGGGCGUAAAGCGCUCGUAGGCGGUAUGUCAAGUCAAGGGUGAAAUCUCCGCGCUCAACGUGGGAACUGCCUUUGAAACUGGCAAGCUGGAGUGUGUGAGAGGGUAGUGGAAUUCCAGGUGUAGGGGUAAAAUCCGUAGAUAUCUGGAAGAACAUCAGUGGCGAAGGCGACUAUCUGGCACGUAACUGACGCUGAGGAACGAAAGCGUGGGUAGCAAACAGGAUUAGAUACCCCGGUAGUC